GCCGAGAACUUUUCAAUCGACCUAUUAUGUAGUCGAUGGAAGCUAGGGAAAUUCAUACACCAAUUUUCUGCAUAUUAAAUGGAUGGGAGCUAAAGAAAGUAUUGACCCGAUGUCUCAUAUAUUGACGAAUAUAGAUGUUAUGAAGUCAAGUGGAAGUUCAAAAAUUUUUAUAUUGGGAGGUCCAAAAACAGCGGGACUUACAGUUACAUAUUCGGUAUAUGGGGUUUGAAAAGUUAUGAGCCGAUUUCAAAAUCUUCGAUGCAAUCGAACUUAACGUCAUUUCAAGACUAAACAUAAUUUCGACGGAGAGUGGGUAACUUUUCAAAAGAAAUAUGCAUACGAGUAACCACAUACAAUACUUUGUCAUUUGUAAACAACCUGAAUAUUCGAUUUUGCACCUUAAGGUCAGUAUAGAAAGUAGCGAAACUAACAAAUAGAAAACAAGUAAGAAUGGGCUAAGUUCGGGUGUCACCGAACAUUUUAUACUCUCGCAUGAUAAAGUGAUAAUCGAGAUUUCAUUAUCCGACAUUUACAUAUUUUUUUAUUUUGCUGUAAAAUUAAUUAGAUUAGUACUUCCUGAGAUAUGGUUUUUGGUCCAUAAGUGGGCGACGCCACGCCCAUUUUCAAUUUAAAAAAAAGCCUGGGUGCAGCUUCCUUCUGCCAUUUCUUCCGUAAAAUUUAGUGUUUCCGACGAUUUUUGUUAGUCGGUUAACGCACUUUUAGUGAUUUUCAACAUAACCUUUGUAUGGGAGGUGGGCGUGGUUAUUAUCCGAUUUCUUCCAUUUUUGAACUGUAUAUGGAAAUUCCUCUCUAUAGAGUUUGGUUGACAUAGCUAUAGUAGUUUCCGAGAUAUGUAUAAAAAACUUAGUUGGGGGCGGGGCCACGCCCACUUUUCCAAAAAAGUUACGUCCAAAUAUGCCCCUCCAUAAUGCGAUCUUUUGUGCCAAAUUUCACUUUAAUAUCUUUAUUUAUGGCUCAGUUAUGACACUUUAUAGGUUUUCGGUUUUCGCCAUUUUGUGGGCGUGGCAGUGGGCCGAUUUUGCCCAUCUUCGAACUUAACCUUCUUAUGGAGCCAAGAAAUACGUGUACCAAGUUUAAUCAUGAUAUCUCAAUUUUUACUCAAAUUACAGCUUGCACGGACGGACGGACGGACGUACGGACGGACAGAUAGACAUCCGGAUUUCAACUCUACUCGUCACCCUGAUCACUUUGGUACAUAUAACCCUAUAUCUGACUCUUUUAGUUUUAGGACUUACAAACAACCGUUAUAUGAACAAAACUAUAAUACUCUCAUUAGCAACUUUGUUGCGAGAGUAUAAAAAUAACAAUACUUACAUACAAAAACUUAUUUAAUAAAUUUAUUUUUAACUUUUGUAUACAUAAAUAUAAUUCUGAAUGGGAAUACAGUUUUUUGAUAAUCUGUAAUUAAAAGAUUUCGCUCACAUUAAUUUUUUUCUGGCUUAACUAUCAUAAUAAGGCCACUUAUUUAUAUAAAAUAUGUAUGUAUGGAUCGAUUGAAUUAUGUAUUACUACAGUUACAAUUCGAGCUGAUAGACAUUUAACUAAAUCCUAAAUAUACGUAAAAUUGUGAGAUUCAUUUGCACACAUAAGUAUGUACAAAAAGACGGAAUCGUUGC
This is a long non-coding RNA of Bactrocera dorsalis (oriental fruit fly), 1637 nucleotides long. RefSeq lists it as uncharacterized. NCBI's taxonomy places the organism in Eukaryota, Metazoa, Arthropoda, Insecta, Diptera, Tephritidae. The transcript has 2 exons. The record is from RefSeq and is a predicted model, not a curated record.